Molecule: ribosomal RNA, 1358 nt
Filed under: uncultured bacterium
Lineage: Bacteria
Description: bacterial SSU rRNA
Rfam family: Bacterial small subunit ribosomal RNA
Source: RNAcentral
GAUGAACGCUAGCUACAGGCUUAACACAUGCAAGUCGAGGGGCAGCAUGGUCUUAGCUUGCUAAGGCCGAUGGCGACCGGCCCACGGGUGAGUAACACGUAUCCAACCUGCCGUCUACUCUUGGACAGCCUUCUGAAAGGAAGAUUAAUACAAGAUGGCAUCAUGAGUCCACAUGUUCACAUGAUUAAAGGUAUUCCGGUAGACGAUGGGGAUGCGUUCCAUUAGAUAGUAGGCGGGGUAAUGGCCCACCUAGUCUUCGAUGGAUAGGGGUUCUGAGAGGAAGGUCCCCCACAUUGGAACUGAGACACGGUCCAAACUCCUACGGGAGGCAGCAGUGAGGAAUAUUGGUCAAUGGGCGAGAGCCUGAACCAGCCAAGUAGCGUGAAGGAUGACUGCCCUAUGGGUUGUAAACUUCUUUUAUAAAGGAAUAAAGUCGGGUAUGCAUACCCGUUUGCAUGUACUUUAUGAAUAAGGAUCGGCUAACUCCGUGCCAGCAGCCGCGGUAAUACGGAGGAUCCGAGCGUUAUCCGGAUUUAUUGGGUUUAAAGGGAGCGUAGAUGGAUGUUUAAGUCAGUUGUGAAAGUUUGCGGCUCAACCGUAAAAUUGCAGUUGAUACUGGAUAUCUUGAGUGCAGUUGAGGCAGGCGGAAUUCGUGGUGUAGCGGUGAAAUGCUUAGAUAUCACGAAGAACUCCGAUUGCGAAGGCAGCCUGCUAAGCUGCAACUGACAUUGAGGCUCGAAAGUGUGGGUAUCAAACAGGAUUAGAUACCCUGGUAGUCCACACGGUAAACGAUGAAUACUCGCUGUUUGCGAUAUACAGCAAGCGGCCAAGCGAAAGCGUUAAGUAUUCCACCUGGGGAGUACGCCGGCAACGGUGAAACUCAAAGGAAUUGACGGGGGCCCGCACAAGCGGAGGAACAUGUGGUUUAAUUCGAUGAUACGCGAGGAACCUUACCCGGGCUUAAAUUGCAGAUGAAUUACGGUGAAAGCCGUAAGCCGCAAGGCAUCUGUGAAGGUGCUGCAUGGUUGUCGUCAGCUCGUGCCGUGAGGUGUCGGCUUAAGUGCCAUAACGAGCGCAACCCUUGUUGUCAGUUACUAACAGGUUCCGCUGAGGACUCUGACAAGACUGCCAUCGUAAGAUGUGAGGAAGGUGGGGAUGACGUCAAAUCAGCACGGCCCUUACGUCCGGGGCUACACACGUGUUACAAUGGGGGGUACAGAGGGCCGCUACCACGCGAGUGGAUGCCAAUCCCAAAAACCUCUCUCAGUUCGGACUGGAGUCUGCAACCCGACUCCACGAAGCUGGAUUCGCUAGUAAUCGCGCAUCAGCCACGGCGCGGUGAAUACGUUCCCGGGCCU